Molecule: ribosomal RNA, 497 nt
Filed under: uncultured bacterium
Lineage: Bacteria
Description: partial 16S ribosomal RNA
Rfam family: Bacterial small subunit ribosomal RNA
Source: RNAcentral
GAUGAACGCUGGCGGCGUGCCUAAUACAUGCAAGUCGAGCGAACAGAUGAGGAGCUUGCUCCUCUGACGUUAGCGGCGGACGGGUGAGUAACACGUGGAUAACCUACCUAUAAGACUGGGAUAACUUCGGGAAACCGGAGCUAAUACCGGAUAAUAUAUUGAACCGCAUGGUUCAAUAGUGAAAGACGGUUUUGCUGUCACUUAUAGAUGGAUCCGCGCCGCAUUAGCUAGUUGGUAAGGUAACGGCUUACCAAGGCAACGAUGCGUAGCCGACCUGAGAGGGGGAACGGGCACACCUGAACCUGGAAACGGUCCCGACCUCCACCGGAAGCCGCAGUAGGGAAAUCUUCGCAAAUGGCGAAAGCCUGACGGAGCAACGCCGCGUGAGUGAUGAAGGUCUUCGGAUCGUAAAACUCUGUUAUUAGGGAAGAACAAAUGUGUAAGUAACUAUGCACGUCUUGACGGUACCUAAUCAGAAAGCCACGGCUAACUACGUG